This 1450-nucleotide ribosomal RNA is filed under the name Salmonella enterica. Its description in RNAcentral is "partial 23S ribosomal RNA". It matches the Rfam family "Bacterial large subunit ribosomal RNA", at positions 1511 to 2925 of the family's 2925-position model. Lineage: Bacteria; Pseudomonadati; Pseudomonadota; Gammaproteobacteria; Enterobacterales; Enterobacteriaceae. The record is from RNAcentral.
UUUAAGCGUGUAGGUGUGUGUUCCAGGUAAAUCCGGUUCACUUUAACACUGAGGCGUGAUGACGAGGCACUACGGUGCUGAAGUAACAAAUGCCCUGCUUCCAGGAAAAGCCUCUAAGCAUCAGGUAACAUCAAAUCGUACCCCAAACCGACACAGGUGGUCAGGUAGAGAAUACCAAGGCGCUUGAGAGAACUCGGGUGAAGGAACUAGGCAAAAUGGUGCCGUAACUUCGGGAGAAGGCACGCUGACACGUAGGUGAAGUGAUUUACUCACGGAGCUGAAGUCAGUCGAAGAUACCAGCUGGCUGCAACUGUUUAUUAAAAACACAGCACUGUGCAAACACGAAAGUGGACGUAUACGGUGUGACGCCUGCCCGGUGCCGGAAGGUUAAUUGAUGGGGUCAGCGCAAGCGAAGCUCCUGAUCGAAGCCCCGGUAAACGGCGGCCGUAACUAUAACGGUCCUAAGGUAGCGAAAUUCCUUGUCGGGUAAGUUCCGACCUGCACGAAUGGCGUAAUGAUGGCCAGGCUGUCUCCACCCGAGACUCAGUGAAAUUGAACUCGCUGUGAAGAUGCAGUGUACCCGCGGCAAGACGGAAAGACCCCGUGAACCUUUACUAUAGCUUGACACUGAACAUUGAGCCUUGAUGUGUAGGAUAGGUGGGAGGCUUUGAAGUGUGGACGCCAGUCUGCAUGGAGCCGACCUUGAAAUACCACCCUUUAAUGUUUGAUGUUCUAACGUGGACCCGUUACCCGGGUUGCGGACAGUGUCUGGUGGGUAGUUUGACUGGGGCGGUCUCCUCCUAAAGAGUAACGGAGGAGCACGAAGGUUGGCUAAUCCUGGUCGGACAUCAGGAGGUUAGUGCAAUGGCAUAAGCCAGCUUGACUGCGAGCGUGACGGCGCGAGCAGGUGCGAAAGCAGGUCAUAGUGAUCCGGUGGUUCUGAAUGGAAGGGCCAUCGCUCAACGGAUAAAAGGUACUCCGGGGAUAACAGGCUGAUACCGCCCAAGAGUUCAUAUCGACGGCGGUGUUUGGCACCUCGAUGUCGGCUCAUCACAUCCUGGGGCUGAAGUAGGUCCCAAGGGUAUGGCUGUUCGCCAUUUAAAGUGGUACGCGAGCUGGGUUUAGAACGUCGUGAGACAGUUCGGUCCCUAUCUGCCGUGGGCGCUGGAGAACUGAGGGGGGCUGCUCCUAGUACGAGAGGACCGGAGUGGACGCAUCACUGGUGUUCGGGUUGUCAUGCCAAUGGCACUGCCCGGUAGCUAAAUGCGGAAGAGAUAAGUGCUGAAAGCAUCUAAGCACGAAACUUGCCCCGAGAUGAGUUCUCCCUGAGACUUUAGGUCUCCUGAAGGAACGUUGAAGACGACGACGUUGAUAGGCCGGGUGUGUAAGCGCAGCGAUGCGUUGAGCUAACCGGUACUAAUGAACCGUGAGGCUUAACCUUACAACGCCG